Molecule: RNA transcript, 7702 nt
Organism: Mus musculus (house mouse)
Lineage: Eukaryota; Metazoa; Chordata; Mammalia; Rodentia; Muridae
Gene name: predicted gene 3052
Exons: 1
Source: RefSeq, marked validated
CUUUUUUUUUUUUUUUUUUUUCCAUUUUUUAUUAGGUAUUUCGCUCAUUUACAUUUGCAAUGCUAUACCAAAAGUCCCCCAUAGCCACCCACCCCCUCUCCCCUACCCACCCACUCCCCUUUUAUGGCCCUGGCGUUCCCCUGUACUGGGGCAUAUAAAGUUUGCGUGUCCAAUGGGCCUCUCUUUCGAGUGAUGGCCGACUAGGCCAUCUUUUGAUGCAUAUGCAGCUAGAGUCAAGAGCUCCGGGGUACUGGUUAGUUCAUAAUGUUGUUCCACCUAUAGGGUUGCAGAUCUCUUUAGCUUCUUUGGUACUUUCUCUAGCUCCUUCAUUGGGGGCCAUGUGAUCCAUCCAAUAGCCGACUGUGAGCAUCCACUUCUAUGUUUGCUAGGCCCAGGCAUACUCUGACAAGAGACAGCUAUAUCAGGGUCCUUUCAGCAUAAUCUUGCUAGUGUAUGCAAUGGUGUCAGCAUUUGGAAGCUGAUUAUGGGAUGGAUCCCCGGAUAUGCUAGUGUCUACAUGGUCCAUCCUUUUAUCUCAGCUCCAAACUUUGUCUCUGUAACUCCUUCCAAGGGUGUUUUGUUCCCACUUCUAAGGAGGGGCAUAGUGUUCACACUUCAGUCUUCAUUUUUCUUGAGUUUCAUGUGUUUAGGAAAUUGUAUCUUAUAUCUUGGGUAUCUUAGGUUUUGGGCUAAUAUCCACUUAUCAGUGAGUACAUAUUGUGUGAGUUCCUUUGUGAAUGUGUUACCUCACUCAGGAUGAUGCCCUCCAGGUCCAUCCAUUUGGCUAGGAAUUUCAUAAAUUCAUUCUUUUUAAUAGCUGAGUAGUACUCCAUUGUGUAGAUGUACCACAUUUUCUGUAUCCAUUCCUCUGUUGAGGGGCAUCUGGGUUCCUUCCAGCUUCUGGCUAUUAUAAAUAAGGCUGCUAUGAACAUAGUGGAGCAUGUGUCCUUCUUACCAGUUGGGGCAUCUUCUGGAUAUAUGCCCAGGAGAGGUAUUGCUGGAUCCUCCGGUAGUACUAUAUCCAGUUUUCUGAGGAACCGCCAGACUGAUUUCCAUAGUGGUUGUACAAGCCUGCAAUCCCACCAACAAUGGAGGAGUGUUCCUCUUUCUCCACAUCCACGCCAGCAUCUGCUGUCACCUGAAUUUUUGAUCUUAGCCAUUCUGACUGGUGUGAGGUGGAAUCUCAGGGUUGUUUUGAUUUGCAUUUCCCUGAUGAUUAAGGAUGUUGAGCAUUUUUUCAGGUGCUUCUCUGCCAUUCGGUAUUCCUCAGGUGAGAAUUCUUUGUUCAGUUCUGAGCCCCAUUUUUUAAUGGGGUUAUUUGAUUUUCUGAAGUCCACCUUCUUGAGUUCUUUAUAUAUGUUGGAUAUUAGUCCCCUAUCUGAUUUAGGAUAGGUAAAGAUCCUUUCCCAAUCUGUUGGUGGUCUUUUUGUCUUAUUGACGGUGUCUUUUGCCUUGCAGAAACUUUGGAGUUUCAUUAGGUCCCAUUUGUCAAUUCUCGAUCUUACAGAGCAAGCCAUUGCUGUUCUGUUCAGGAAUUUUUCCCCUGUACCCAUAUCUUCAAGGCUUUUCCCCACUUUCUCCUCUAUAAGUUUCAGUGUCUCUGGUUUUAUGUGAAGUUCCUUGAUCCACUUAGAUUUGACCUUAGUACAAGGAGAUAAGUAUGGAUCGAUUCACAUUCUUCUACAUGAUAACAACCAGUUGUGCCAGCACCAAUUGUUGAAAAUGCUGUCUUUCUUCCACUGGAUGGUUUUAGCUCCCUUGUCGAAGAUCAAGUGACCAUAGGUGUGUGGGUUCAUUUCUGGGUCUUCAAUUCUAUUCCAUUGGUCUACUUGUCUGUCUCUAUACCAGUACCAUGCAGUUUUUAUCACAAUUGCCCUGUAGUAAAGCUUUAGGUCAGGCAUGGUGAUUCCACCAGAGGUUCUUUUAUCCUUGAGAAGAGUUUUUGCUAUCCUAGGUUUUUUGUUAUUCCAGAUGAAUUUGCAAAUUGCUCCUUCUAAUUCGUUGAAGAAUUGGGUUGGAAUUUUGAUGGGGAUUGCAUUGAAUCUGUAGAUUGCUUUUGGCAAGAUAGCCAUUUUUACAAUGUUGAUCCUGCCAAUCCAUGAGCAUGGGAGAUCUUUCCAUCUUCUGAGAUCUUCUUUAAUUUCUUUCUUCAGAGACUUGAAGUUUUUAUCAUACAGAUCUUUUACUUCCUUAGUUAGAGUCACGCCGAGAUAUUUUAUAUUAUUUGUGACUAUUGAGAAGGGUGUUGUUUCCCUAAUUUCUUUCUCAGCCUGUUUAUUCUUUGUGUAGAGAAAGGCCAUUGACUUGUUUGAGUUAAUUUUAUAUCCAGCUACUUCACCAAAGCUGUUUAUCAGGUUUAGGACUUCUCUGGUGGAAUUAUUAGGGUCACUUAUAUAUACUAUCAUAUCAUCUGCAAAAAGUGAUAUUUUGACUUCCUCUUUUCCAAUUUGUAUCCCCUUGAUCUCCUUUUGUUGUCGAAUUGCUCUGGCUAAUACUUCAAGUACUAUGUUGAAAAGGUAGGGAGAAAGUGGGCAACCUUGUCUAGUCCCUGAUUUUAGUGGGAUUGCUUCCAGCUUCUCUCCAUUUACUUUGAUGUUGGCUACUGGUUUGCUGUAGAUUGCUUUUAUCAUGUUUAGGUAUGGGCCUUGAAUUCCUGAUCUUUCCAAAACUUUUAUCAUGAAUGGGUGUUGGAUCUUGUCAAAUGCUUUUUCUGCAUCUAACGAGAUGAUCAUGUGGUUUUUGUCUUUGAGUUUGUUUAUAUAAUGGAUUACAUUGAUGGACUUUCGUAUAUUAAACCAUCCCUGCAUCCCUGGAAUAAAACCUACUUGGUCAGGAUGGAUGAUUUCUUUAAUGUGUUCUUGGAUUCGGUUAGCGAGAAUUUUAUUAAGGAUUUUUGCAUCGAUAUUCAUAAGAGAAAUUGGUCUGAAGUUCUCUAUCUUUGUUGGAUCUUUCUGUGGUUUAGGUAUCAGAGUAAUAGUGGCUUCAUAAAAUGAGUUGGGUAGAGUACCUUCUACUUCUAUCUUGUGAAAUAGUUUGUGCAGAACUGGAAUUAGAUCUUCUUUGAAGGUCUGAUAGAACUCUGCACUAAACCCAUCUGGUCCUGGGCUUUUUUUGGCUGGGAGACUAUUAAUAACUGCUUCUAUUUCUUUAGGGGAUAUGGGACUGUUUAGAAGGUCAACUUGAUCCUGAUUCAACUUUGGUACCUGGUAUCUGUCCAGAAAUUUGUCCAUUUCGUCCAGGUUUUCCAGUUUUGUUGAGUAUAAGCUUUUGUAGAAGGAUCUGAUGGUGUUUUGGAUUUCUUCAGGAUCUGUUGUUAUGUCUCCCUUUUCAUUUCUGAUUUUGUUGAUUAGGAUUUUGUCCCUUUGCCCUCUAGUGAGUCUAGCUAAGGGCUUAUCUAUCUUGUUGAUUUUCUCAAAGAACCAACUCCUCGUUUGGUUAAUUCUUUGAAUAGUUCUUCUUGUUUCCACUUGGUUAAUUUCACCCCUGAGUUUGAUUAUUUCCUGCCGUCUACUCCUCUUGGGUGAAUUUGCUUCCUUUUUUUCUAGAGCUUUUAGAUGUGUUGUCAAGCUGCUAGUAUGUGCUCUCUCCCGUUUCUUCUUGGAGGUACUCAGAGCUAUGAGUUUCCCUCUUAGAAAUGCUUUCAUUGUGUCCCAAAGGUUUGGGUACGUUGUGGCUUCAUUUUCAUUAAACUCUAAAAAGUCUUUAAUUUCUUUCUUUAUUCCUUCCUUGACCAAGGUAUCAUUGAGAAGAGUGUUGUUCAGUUUCCACGUGAAUGUUGGCUUUCCAUUCUUAAUGUUGUUAUUGAAGAUCAGUCUUAGGCCAUGGUUGUCUGAUAGGAUACAUGGGACAAUUUCAAUAUUUUUGUAUCUGUUGAGGCCUAUUUUGUGACCAAUUAUAUGGUCAAUUUUGGAGAAGGUCCCGUGAGGUGCUGAGAAGAAGGUAUAUCCUUUUGUUUUAGGAUUAAAUAUUCUGUAAAUAUCUGUCAGGUCCAUUUGUUUCAUAACUUCUGUUAGUUUCACUGUGUCCCUGUUUAGUUUCUGUUUCCACGAUCUGUCCAUUGAUGAAAGUGGUGUGUUGAGGUCUCCCACUAUUAUUGUGUGAGGUGCAAUGUGUGCUUUGAGCUUUACUAAAGUGUCUUUAAUGAAUGUGGCUGCCCUUGCAUUUGGAGCGUAGAUAUUCAGAAUUGAGAGUUCCUCUUGGAGGAUUUUACCUUUGAUGAGUAUGAAGUGUCCCUCCUUGUCUUUUUUGAUAACUUUGGGUUGGAAGUCGAUUUUAUCCGAUAUUAGAAUGGCUACUCCAGCCUGUUUCUUCAGACCAUUUGCUUGGAAAAUUGUUUUCCAGCCUUUCACUCUGAGGUAGUGUCUGUCUUUUUCCCUGAGAUGGGUUUCCUGUAAGCAGCAGAAUGUUGGGUCCUGUUUGUGUAGCCAGUCUGUUAGUCUAUGUCUUUUUAUUGGGGAAUUGAGUCCAUUGAUAUUAAGAGAUAUUAAGGAAAGGUAAUUGUUGCUUCCUGUUAUUUUUGUUGUUAAAGUUGGCAUUCUGUUCUUGUGGCUGUCUUCUUUUAGGUUUGUUGAGGGAUUAUCUUCUUGUUUUUUCUAGGGCGUGGUUCCCGUCCUUGUAUUGGUUUUUUUCUGUUAUUAUCCUUUGAAGGGCUGGAUUCGUGGAGAGAUAAUGGGUGAAUUUAGUUUUGUCGUGGAAUACUUUGGUUUCUCCAUCUAUGGUAAUUGAGAGUUUGGCUGGGUAUAGUAGCCUGGGCUGGCAUUUGUGUUCUCUUAGUGUCUGUAUAACAUCUGUCCAGGCUCUUCUGGCUUUCAUAGUCUCUGGUGAAAAAUCUGGUGUAAUUCUGAUAGGCUUGCCUUUAUAUGUUACUUGACCUUUUUCCCUUACUGCUUUUAGUAUUCUAUCUUUAUUUAGUGCAUUUGGUGUUCUGAUUAUUAUGUGUCGGGAGGAAUUUCUUUUCUGGUCCAGUCUAUUUGGAGUUCUGUAGGCUUCUUGUAUGUUCAUGGGCAUCUCUUUCUUUAGAUUUGGGAAGUUUUCUUCAAUAAUUUUGUUGAAGAUGUUUGCUGGUCCUUUGAGUUGAAAAUCUUCAUUCUCAUCCACUCCUAUUAUCCGUAGGUUUGGUCUUCUCAUUGUGUCCUGGAUUUCCUGGAUGUUUUGAGUUAGGAUCUUUUUGCAUUUUCCAUUUUCUUUGAUUGUUGUGCCGAUGUUCUCUAUGGAGUCUUCUGCACCUGAGAUUCUCUCUUCCAUCUCUUGUAUUCUGUUGCUGAUGCUGGCAUCUAUGGUUCCAGAUUUCUUUCCUAGGGUUUCUAUCUCCAGCGUCGCCUCACUUUGGGUUUUCUUUAUUGUGUCUACUUCCCUUUUUAGGUCUAGUAUGGUUUUGUUCAUUUCCAUCACCUGUUUGGAUGUGUUUUCCUGUUUUUCUAUAAGGACUUCUACCUGUUUGGUUGUGUUUUCCUGUUUUUCUUUAAGGACUUGUAACUCUUUAGCAGUGUUUUCCUGUUUUUCUUUAAGGACUUGUAACUCUUUAGCAGUGUUCUCCUGUAUUUCUUUAAGUGAGUUAUUGAAUUCCUUCUUUAUGUCCUCUACCAUCAUCAUGAGAUAUGCUUUUAAAUCCAGGUCUACCUUUUCAGGUGUGUUAGGGUGUCCUGGAUUGGGCGAAGUGGGCGUUCUGGGUUCUGAUGAUGGUGAGUGGUCCUGGCUUCUGUUAGUAGGAUUCUUACGUUUACCUUUCGCCAUCUGGCAAUCUCUGGAGUUAGUUGUUAUAGUUGUCUUUGUUAAGAGAUUGUUCCUCUGUUGAUUUUGUUACCCUCUAUCAGCAGGCGUGGGAGACAAGCUCUCUUCUCUGAGUUUCAGUGGUCAGAGCAGUCUCUGUAGGCAAGCUCUCCUCUUUCAGGGAAGGUGUACAGUUAUCUGGUGUUUGGACCUCCUCCUGGCUGAAGGUGAAGGCCCAAAACAGGAUCUUUCCCAGAAGCUGUGUUGCUUUGGCCAGGAAGGUGGCCAGUUGUCUGGAGUCGAAGAUGUCGCCGCCUGAGAAGCUCUGUGGCUCUUGUCCGGAAGGAGGCCGGCCGUCUGGAGCUGAGCAUGGCGCUGCCUCAGAAGCUCUGUGGCUCUUGCCGGGAAGGUGGCUGGUUGUCUGGAGCUGAAGAUGGCGCCACCCAGAAGCUCUGCGACUCUCGCCCGUCCCAGAAACGGCUGGCACUCUGUAUUCCACACGUCACCCGUGCAGCCUGCCCUCCGCGGAGUCCCGGAGCCAAGAAGGCUCCCGCCGGCGCCUGUGCCACAAACCUCUCAGGCCUGGCAGACCCCCGUGCUCUCACCAGGAAGGUGGCCGGCUAUCUGGAGCUGAAGAUGGCGCCGCCCAGAAGCUCUGCGACUCUCGCCCGUCCCAGAAACGGCUGGCACUCUGUAUUCCACACGGUCACCCGUGCAGCCUGCCCUCCGCGGAGUCCCGGAGCCAAGAAGGCUCCCGCCGGCGCCUGUGCCACAAACCUCUCAGGCCUGGCAGACCCCCGUGCUCUCACCAGGAAGGUGGCCGGCUAUCUGGAGCUGAAGAUGGCGCCGCCCAGAAGCUCUGCGACUCUCGCCCGUCCCAGAAAUGGCUGGCACUCUGUAUUCCACACGGUCACCCGUGCAGCCUGCCCUCCGCGGAGUCCCGGAGCCAAGAAGGCUCCCGCCGGCGCCUGUGCCACAAACCUCUCAGGCCAGGCAGACCCCCGUGCUCUCACCAGGAAGGUGGCCGGCUGUCUGGAGCUGAAGAUGGCGCCGCCCAGAAGCUAGGGAUGGUUUCUUACCCAUUAUUCUCCAUUAAGAUCCUGGCCUAGGCUACCAGGAACAUGUAAAUAAGAAAAGGAGUAUGAGAAAACAAAACAGAUAGAUUGCCAUGAGAACUACAGCUCAAUAUUUUUUUCCUCUGGCAAAGAGUUCCACAACCAGUUCCAGGAGGCCUCCCCCUUUUGAGGUCAGUCGCUUCAGUCUGUGGAACUUGUCACAUAGAUCCUACUGGAGGUGGUGUGGCACAAAACACCAUCCUUUUUAUAUUGGACAUUUAGAGCUCAUUCUGAUCUUCCCGGACCUUUGGCUGCAGGCAAUGAUUGUAUUGACAGAGAGAGCUUCAAUAGGAGAAGCUUUAGUUUCAGAUCCUAUUGUUUUGGCUAAAUGUGAUCAUAAUAAAUUUCAUCUUUCUAGUCCUACCUUAAGGCUCUGACAUAAGAUCGCUAAGGAGCAAGCUAGAAUGAUUAUAAAACUAUGUCCUGACUAUCUUCCAUUGUCUCAAGUUUCUCAUUUAGGGGUUAAUCCACAAGGCCUUAUGCCCAAUCAUAUUUGGCAACUGGAUGUAACUCGUUAUUCAGAAUUUGGAAAAUUGAAAUAUAUACAUGUCUGUAUUGACACUUGUUCAGGAUUCAUUUUUGCUUCUCUACACACAGGAAAAGCUUCUAGAAAUGUAAUUGAUAUUGCUUACAGGCUUUUACUGCUAUGAGGUUGCCUAAAAUCAUCAAGACAGAUAAUGGCCCUGCUUAUACUGGAAACAACUUUAUACAAUUUUGUAAGGAAUUUGGAAUUAAACAUAAAACUGGAAUUCCUUAUAACCUAUGGGACAAGGAAUUGUUGAACGUGCGCGUUGUACUCUGAAAAAUUGGCUUUGGAAAAAAAAGGGGAAUCAUAUCCCUGUACACCACAAAAAUAUUAAAAUUUCUAUACCAAGGAA